RNAcentral lists this ribosomal RNA (510 nucleotides) under uncultured bacterium. Its description in RNAcentral is "bacterial SSU rRNA". It matches the Rfam family "Bacterial small subunit ribosomal RNA", at positions 15 to 518 of the family's 1533-position model. The record is from RNAcentral.
GAUCCUGGCUCAGAUUGAACGCUGGCGGCAGGCUAACACAUGCAAGUCGAGCGGGGAAAGGUAGCUUGCUACCUAACCUAGCGGCGGACGGGUGAGUAAUGCUUAGGAAUCUGCCUAUUAGUGGGGGGACAACAUCUCGAAAGGGAUGCUAAUACCGCAUACGUCCUACGGGAGAAAGCAGGGGAUCUUCGGACCUUGCGCUAAUAGAUGAGCCUAAGUCGGAUUAGCUAGUUGGUGGGGUAAAGGCCUACCAAGGCGACGAUCUGUAGCGGGUCUGAGAGGAUGAUCCGCCACACUGGGACUGAGACACGGCCCAGACUCCUACGGGAGGCAGCAGUGGGGAAUAUUGGACAAUGGGGGGAACCCUGAUCCAGCCAUGCCGCGUGUGUGAAGAAAGGCCUUUUGGUUGUAAAGCACUUUAAGCGAGGAGGAGGAGCUCUUGGUUAAUACCCAAGAUGCUUGGACGUUACUCGCAGAAUAAGCACCGGCUAACUCUGUGCCAGCAGCCGC